This 1489-nucleotide ribosomal RNA is filed under the name Lactiplantibacillus plantarum. RNAcentral describes it as "bacterial SSU rRNA". It matches the Rfam family "Bacterial small subunit ribosomal RNA". Lineage: Bacteria; Bacillati; Bacillota; Bacilli; Lactobacillales; Lactobacillaceae. The record is from RNAcentral.
GACGAACGCUGGCGGCGUGCCUAAUACAUGCAAGUCGAACGAACUCUGGUAUUGAUUGGUGCUUGCAUCAUGAUUUACAUUUGAGUGAGUGGCGAACUGGUGAGUAACACGUGGGAAACCUGCCCAGAAGCGGGGGAUAACACCUGGAAACAGAUGCUAAUACCGCAUAACAACUUGGACCGCAUGGUCCGAGUUUGAAAGAUGGCUUCGGCUAUCACUUUUGGAUGGUCCCGCGGCGUAUUAGCUAGAUGGUGGGGUAACGGCUCACCAUGGCAAUGAUACGUAGCCGACCUGAGAGGGUAAUCGGCCACAUUGGGACUGAGACACGGCCCAAACUCCUACGGGAGGCAGCAGUAGGGAAUCUUCCACAAUGGACGAAAGUCUGAUGGAGCAACGCCGCGUGAGUGAAGAAGGGUUUCGGCUCGUAAAACUCUGUUGUUAAAGAAGAACAUAUCUGAGAGUAACUGUUCAGGUAUUGACGGUAUUUAACCAGAAAGCCACGGCUAACUACGUGCCAGCAGCCGCGGUAAUACGUAGGUGGCAAGCGUUGUCCGGAUUUAUUGGGCGUAAAGCGAGCGCAGGCGGUUUUUUAAGUCUGAUGUGAAAGCCUUCGGCUCAACCGAAGAAGUGCAUCGGAAACUGGGAAACUUGAGUGCAGAAGAGGACAGUGGAACUCCAUGUGUAGCGGUGAAAUGCGUAGAUAUAUGGAAGAACACCAGUGGCGAAGGCGGCUGUCUGGUCUGUAACUGACGCUGAGGCUCGAAAGUAUGGGUAGCAAACAGGAUUAGAUACCCUGGUAGUCCAUACCGUAAACGAUGAAUGCUAAGUGUUGGAGGGUUUCCGCCCUUCAGUGCUGCAGCUAACGCAUUAAGCAUUCCGCCUGGGGAGUACGGCCGCAAGGCUGAAACUCAAAGGAAUUGACGGGGGCCCGCACAAGCGGUGGAGCAUGUGGUUUAAUUCGAAGCUACGCGAAGAACCUUACCAGGUCUUGACAUACUAUGCAAAUCUAAGAGAUUAGACGUUCCCUUCGGGGACAUGGAUACAGGUGGUGCAUGGUUGUCGUCAGCUCGUGUCGUGAGAUGUUGGGUUAAGUCCCGCAACGAGCGCAACCCUUAUUAUCAGUUGCCAGCAUUAAGUUGGGCACUCUGGUGAGACUGCCGGUGACAAACCGGAGGAAGGUGGGGAUGACGUCAAAUCAUCAUGCCCCUUAUGACCUGGGCUACACACGUGCUACAAUGGAUGGUACAACGAGUUGCGAACUCGCGAGAGUAAGCUAAUCUCUUAAAGUCAUUCUCAGUUCGGAUUGUAGGCUGCAACUCGCCUACAUGAAGUCGGAAUCGCUAGUAAUCGCGGAUCAGCAUGCCGCGGUGAAUACGUUCCCGGGCCUUGUACACACCGCCCGUCACACCAUGAGAGUUUGUAACACCCAAAGUCGGUGGGGUAACCUUUUAGGAACCAGCCGCCUAAGGUGGGACAGAUGAUUAGGGUG